UUGAACGCUGGCGGCAGGCCUAACACCUGCAAGUCGAACGGUAACAGGGAUCAGCUUGCUGAUUCGCUGACGAGUGGCGGACGGGUGAGUAAUGUCUGGGAAACUGCCUGAUGGAGGGGGAUAACUACUGGAAACGGUAGCUAAUACCGCAUAACGUCGCAAGACCAAAGGGGGGGACCUUCGGGCCUCUUGCCAUCGGAUGUGCCCAGAUGGGAUUAGCUAGUAGGUGGGGUAACGGCUCACCUAGGCGACGAUCCCUAGCUGGUCUGAUAGGAUGACCAGCCACACUGGAACUGAGACACGGUCCAGACUCCUACGGGAGGCAGCAGUGGGGAAUAUUGCACAAUGGGCGCAAGCCUGAUGCAGCCAUGCCGCGUGUAUGAAGAAGGCCUUCGGGUUGUAAAGUACUUUCAGCGGGGAGGAAGGGAGUAAAGUUAAUACCUUUGCUCAUUGACGUUACCCGCAGAAGAAGCACCGGCUAACUCCGUG
This 489-nucleotide ribosomal RNA is filed under the name uncultured bacterium. Its description in RNAcentral is "partial 16S ribosomal RNA". It matches the Rfam family "Bacterial small subunit ribosomal RNA", at positions 30 to 507 of the family's 1533-position model. The record is from RNAcentral.